UUGAUGCUUGCAUCUUUUAAAAAGUUGAGUGGCCAACGGGUGAGUAACACGUGGGUAACCUACCUUAAAGUGGGGGAUAACACUUGGAAACAGGUGCUAAUACCGCAUAACCAUCAAAACCGCCUGGUUUUGAUGUUAAAGAUGGUUCUGCUAUCGCUUUAAGAUGGACCCGCGGCGUAUUAGCUAGUUGGUGAGGUAACGGCUUACCAAGGCAAUGAUACGUAGCCGAACUGAGAGGUUGAUCGGCCACAUUGGGACUGAGACACGGCCCAAACUCCUACGGGAGGCAGCAGUAGGGAAUCUUCCACAAUGGACGAAAGUCUGAUGGAGCAACGCCGCGUGAGUGAAGAAGGUUUUCGGAUCGUAAAACUCUGUUGUCAGAGAAGAACGUGUGUGAGAGUAACUGUUCACGCAGUGACGGUAUCUGACCAGAAAGUCACGGCUAACUACGCGCCAGCAGCCGCGGUAAUACGUAGGUGGCAAGCGUUGUCCGGAUUUAUUGGGCGUAAAGGGAACGCAGGCGGUCUUUUAAGUCUGAUGUGAAAGCCUUCGGCUUAACCGAAGUCGGGCAUUGGAAACUGGGAGACUUGAGUGCAGAAGAGGAGAGUGGAACUCCAUGUGUAGCGGUGAAAUGCGUAGAUAUAUGGAAGAACACCAGUGGCGAAAGCGGCUCUCUGGUCUGUAACUGACGCUGAGGUUCGAAAGCGUGGGUAGCAAACAGGAUUAGAUACCCUGGUAGUCCA
This 743-nucleotide ribosomal RNA is filed under the name uncultured bacterium. RNAcentral's name for it is "bacterial SSU rRNA". It matches the Rfam family "Bacterial small subunit ribosomal RNA", at positions 73 to 797 of the family's 1533-position model. The record is from RNAcentral.